AUUGAACGCUGGCGGCAGGCCUAACACAUGCAAGUCGAACGGUAGCACAGAGAGCUUGCUCUCGGGUGACGAGUGGCGGACGGGUGAGUAACGUCUGGGAAACUGCCCGAUGGAGGGGGAUAACUACUGGAAACGGUAGCUAAUACCGCAUAACGUCGCAAGACCAAAGUGGGGGACCUUCGGGCCUCACACCAUCGGAUGUGCCCAGAUGGGAUUAGCUAGUAGGUGGGGUAAUGGCUCACCUAGGCGACGAUCCGUAGCUGGACUGAGAGGAUGACCAGCCACACUGGGACUGAGACACGGUCCAGACUCCUACGGGAGGCAGCAGUGGGGAAUAUUGCACAAUGGGCGCAAGCCUGAUGCAGCCAUGCCGCGUGUAUGAAGAAGGCCUUCGGGUUGUAAAGUACUUUCAGCGGGGAGGAAGGCGGUGAAGUUAAUAACUUCACCGAUUGACGUUACCCGCAGAAGAAGCACCGGCUAACUCCGUGCCAGCAGCCGCCGCGG
RNAcentral lists this ribosomal RNA (504 nucleotides) under uncultured bacterium. Its description in RNAcentral is "partial 16S ribosomal RNA". It matches the Rfam family "Bacterial small subunit ribosomal RNA", at positions 29 to 523 of the family's 1533-position model. The record is from RNAcentral.